Molecule: ribosomal RNA, 446 nt
Filed under: uncultured bacterium
Lineage: Bacteria
Description: bacterial SSU rRNA
Rfam family: Bacterial small subunit ribosomal RNA
Source: RNAcentral
UGCCAGACUCCUACGGGAGGCAGCAGUGGGGGAUAUUGGACAAUGGGGGGAACCCUGAUCCAGCGACGCCGCGUGAGUGAAGAAGUAUCUCGGUAUGUAAAGCUCUAUCAGCAGGGACGAAAAUGACGGUACCUGAGUAAGAAGCCCCGGCUAACUACGUGCCAGCAGCCGCGGUAAUACGUAGGGGGCAAGCGUUAUCCGGAUUUACUGGGUGUAAAGGGAGCGUAGACGGUUAUGCAAGUCUGGAGUGAAAGGCGGGGGCUCAACCCCCGGACUGCUCUGGAAACUGUAGAACUAGAGUGCAGGAGGGGUAAGUGGAAUUCCUAGUGUAGCGGUGAAAUGCGUAGAUAUUAGGAGGAACACCAGCGGCGAAGGCGGCUUACUGGACUGUAACUGACGUUGAGGCUCGAAAGCGUGGGGAGCAAACAGGAUUAGAUACCCUUGUA